UCCUCCAAGGCUAAAUACUCCUGACUGACCGAUAGUGAACCAGUACCGUGAGGGAAAGGCGAAAAGAACCCCGGCGAGGGGAGUGAAAAAGAACCUGAAACCGUGUACGUACAAGCAGUGGGAGCACAGGUUUACCUGUGUGACUGCGUACCUUUUGUAUAAUGGGUCAGCGACUUAUAUUCUGUAGCAAGGUUAACCGAAUAGGGGAGCCGGAGGGAAACCGAGUCUUAA
This 231-nucleotide ribosomal RNA is filed under the name Salmonella enterica subsp. enterica serovar Virchow. Its description in RNAcentral is "partial 23S ribosomal RNA". It matches the Rfam family "Bacterial large subunit ribosomal RNA", at positions 456 to 687 of the family's 2925-position model. Lineage: Bacteria; Pseudomonadati; Pseudomonadota; Gammaproteobacteria; Enterobacterales; Enterobacteriaceae. RNAcentral also lists the same sequence under 3 other names. The record is from RNAcentral.